This 69-nucleotide transfer RNA is filed under the name Primolius maracana (blue-winged macaw). Its description in RNAcentral is "tRNA-Lys". The record is from RNAcentral. Lineage: Eukaryota; Metazoa; Chordata; Aves; Psittaciformes; Psittacidae.
CAUUAAGAAGCUAUGUACCAGCACUAGCCUUUUAAGCUAGAUAAAGAGGGGAACCCCCCUCCUUAAUGA